UUAGCUUAUGAAAUUCAUUGUUAACUAAACUUGUAAAGUAGCUGAUUGCCUGAAUGUACUGUAGUAGUAGAUAGUAACGUUAUCUGACCACGAUAGUUGCUAGCAAUGCAAACCAUGUUAAGUGAUUGUUAGAUAUUUACACCACCACCUGUUUCCAGUUUGCCGGUUCCUUCUUCAUCACUCUUCUAUAAAUCUUCAAGUGAAGCCAAGGCUCUCCCUUCAACAGCAUGGUGUUUUUUUACUGCUGAGCGCUUUGGGAGAUGGAGAUCCGGAUACGGUGGCGGUGGUGGUGAUGACAGGGAAGUUAGGGUGAGCCUGAUCUAGCCGUUUGCAGCAACGAGAGCAGUUCAAGCAAGACAAGGCCAUGGCCUCCAAUGAGGUCAGUUCUCUUUUUCUUCCUCAUCAAAAGUUGCAUGUCUGCCAUUAUUUGAAAAACGAUUCCUGAUAAUACGUGUAUAUCCGAGACUUGUGAGCAUUCCACAAGGAUUUGUAUCCUCACGAUACAGUAUAUAUGACAAUCAUGGAUCUUCUGAAAAUCGUUCGCUUUUUGUGUGGAAAGAGAAUGUGCAUUUCGAAGCAAUUGUUUGGAAUUCAUCAAUCUAGAAUUCAGUUGCAGAAAAAUGUCUAACACGUUCAGUAUAUAUGACAAUGAAGAAUUUCCUGCCGAUUUAGUUGCAGAAAAAUAGUUUUUUUUACUGCUGAGCAUGUGGUCGGCGAGGUGGGGAUUGGCCGGUGCGCCAUCAAGCCCUCCAGGGGGACGACGCCAAUGCACUAGCACCGAUGGUCUCCCUUCCGAUGCCAUCAAGUUUCCCUGCCUCCGCCACCGAUUCUCACUGCCUCCGCCGCCACCCGAAGCUGGAUCUGGACCUUCUCCUCAACUCAGGUAAACAAGCCAUAUAUUUCCAAUGGAUGAGAUCUCAGAUGAUUUGAUCGUUGAUUGGUGCUUCAAGGGUUGCAAUAUAUAGCUGCUGACUGCUGCAGCCUGCAGGGUCUCACACGCUCUGGCCCCUGAUGCAUAUUGAUGCAACGCAAAAAAUAUAAGUGUCAGACAGAGAGCUAGGCAACAGAUGAAUGAUUAGACGUGAUUUUCAAAUAAUGGUGUAUUAAUAAUAUUAUAUAAGAGAAGAACGUUGUCAAUUUCGUAGGUAGGUGGUAAACGAGAGAUGCUAUCCUUCUUAAUCUCUGUCAUCAAAAGUUUACUGUUCAGAACCUCCUAAUGGUUUUACUACUAUGCAGGUAAAAGUGCAAAAAGCAAUGAAUGGUGCGCAAGUGCAUAUAAGUUUACUUAUCACUGGGUAUAAUUUCUUCAUCUAAUUUACUAAGCAGACCUGUCACCCAUGAACUAUUUAUAGGAAAGAGAAACAACAGUUGAUGGAGCUGGUAUGCUCAUACCUCAUGGUAACAUAUAGUGUUGACGAUUAUCUUAUUUAUCCGCAUACUUGCUUUCUUGCCACCGUAUGCAUUAUCUGAAUCCUAAGCUAAUCUACGAGAGUGCGUUACUUGCUGUCUACUAUGAUUGGUGUGCACCUCAUAAAACAAGUAGUGCUGUCAUUUUUGUGCAAUGAGUAGUGGUAUACCAAUCCGGUGAGCAGAGAUUAUGAAUCAUUUUUUUGUUGAUUUUCCUCUUUUGUGUGAUAGCAGCAGAAAAGAAUGUUACUCUGUAUUGAGAUCUAUGUCCAUGGGGUGAAUAAUUGGAUUUGAGUGGAAAGUGAGUAGCAACUUUCAGGCAUUGUGAACUCUCAUUUCAGAUGGCACGGUGAGGAACUUCCAUGUCAAGGCUCGAGGUCUUCCGCAACAACCUGGACGAAGAGGGUGGCGUCGCCGGCUGAGACUACAUAUUUUUCGUUGCCGCCCCGGUGACCCUCAUGACAGAGGAUCCCGAGGAAAAAAAGAAAUCAGUUACUUCGCGUUCUUCAGCCUGUGCAGCACACACAUUUUUCCAAGAAGGCCUGAUCGAGCCGGCGGUGCAUGCUCGCAGAGAAUGCGGCAGUGCGAGGUCAGGUAGGAGAACAGCAUUAGCUUCAUUAUCGUGUGCCCCGUCGUCAUGGUUGGCGUGACGCCUGCGACGAAGGUCCAGACCAGCGUCCCGCUCAUUCGCUCCUUGCUAUCUGGCGAGACUUUUCACGUGAAUAAAAGCAUCUAAAUUCUUUUCCCAUCGUGUUCUUCUGUAUCUCUUCUUGUGAUGUCUUGUCAAGUUUGAUGGUUUCAGGCAACCUGGCGAUGGUCCAGACGCUGAAACCUUGGCUUCCAUCACGCUGGUCCAGAUCAGCGAUCUGUGCCGCCAAGUUGAUCGAGUCCUCAUCCGGCAGGCCAACAGGCAUGAUGCAACAACGGCAAUUAGCAAAUAUUUUGGGACAUGCGCACAUACAUGACGUGCCCAUGUUCUUGUUCUUUCUCCAUUUCUCCAUGACCCGCAUUCUCUAUUGACGCAAGCACUACUCAUAGCCAUCUAUUGCAAAACUGAUGCAUUUUUCUGCUGUUUCAAUUGCAGGUUUGCAGGAUAUUUACGAUUUUGGCAUCGCUCAUGUGUUACUAACUUACUAUAAGUUCACCGCCGCUAGAAAAUCCACCCGAUGCAGGUCUUUCAAGCAUUUAAUGGCCAGCCCAUCUUCUAGCAUGAGUACAUAUUACUGUAUUAGAACAAUUAUGAAGCAGAACCAAUUGAUGCAUGGACCUACAGAAAAUAGAAGUAUCCACUUAUAGUAUAUACCAACUAUUAAAGUUGCGUGUGUUAUUACAAUGAACUUUAGAUAAUUACUAUCGAAAGUGGACAAUUUUCUGAAUAUGUAUUUCAAACAAACAAAAUAGUUAUGAGUAGGAAAGAAAUAUUCAUUGAUGUUACUUUUUAUGGUUAUAGGUUUACUUAUUGUUCAUAGUUUAGCUCCUUUCCUCCAUUGAUCCAUACUAGAAUUGUCCAGAGUUUCCUUUUCGUCAGUAAAAAUGUGAAUGAUGAAAGUUAUUUAGUGUAGAGAUGAAUCUACCAACUUCAGGAAAAUAGCUAUAAUAAUUCUAAAGCAGCAUUCUUGUGUAAGUUCUCAAACAAAACUAAACUCAUGAUACAUGUAUUUCUGAAGGGAGGAAUAAGGUUAUCUAUACUAUAUCAAAUGGCUAGAGGUGGUGUUCUAUGGUUUGUACUGUUUGGAAGUACAAUAUAAUCUCAAGAUCUCACCUUUUUAUUAUUCUUUCUCCAUGUGUAGAGAGUAUAUGGAUCUUCUCCAAGGUGAGUAGCAAACAUGUUUUCUCGCUUCUUGAUUCGAACCCUUGCCCCAAUUGUAACAAAGCAAAAGUCUGGUCUAAUGGCUCAUCUGAAUCUUCCUGUUGGUCUGAACUGACAUAGCAUUUUGAUUGACUAAAGAUGAAAAUCAAGUUUUGAUGCAAAGCUAUUUCAUGUACUGCAAAGCUUUCGCAUCAUUAUACAAAGCCUGUAGGAAUCAGCAGCCUUCCAAGAGCCCCCAGGACCACCGUUGCAUUGUAAUCGACCACGUCUAAGCUUCUGCACUGCCAACUUCCGUGCCAAUGACAUGUUUGUGCUCUCCGGGAUAUACAUCAUAAUGUUUGAAGGCGGUAAGUAACAUGCUCUCUUCUUUCACUUUGAUAUCUGAGCUACUCGACCACACUAUUGAUUGAUUGUGUCCCCAGCUUCCUCCAGCAAUGAUAAAUGGAUCUUGGUCAUCAGCAAUUGACUUUGCACAUACGGCCAAAGUGUAUUUUCUCUAAGCAAUUGGUUUUUUGAUGCAAUUAAUUCUAUGGGUUGUCAUGUAGAUGGUGGCCUCUGUGGUUUGCAGGUUUAGGUCGUGUGAAUGUGUCAUGCAUAUCCGAGAAAAUGUAUAGCUUUUAAAGAACCACCUCACUGUAUGUAACAUUAUUAUGGAUAUUUAGAUUAUCAUGUGUUUAUAGAACAGAUUAACCUAAUCUAUUAUGUACAAAUGUUAUAACGUGUUUAAUAUCAACAAUAAUUUGUCAGUAUACAUGACACAUAUUUGUUGUGUUGCACGAUAUUUGUAGCGCUGAAAUAAUUAUGGUUCUUUUAGUUCCAAAGAGAAGAGCACUUGAGCUAAUUUGGAUAUGUAGCAGUGGAGGUGUGGGGCAUGCAAGCAAAAAUAAGACGAACAUCACACUCUAUGUUACCCAUUCAAAUUCAUAUGCAAUCUCCCAAGGUUAGAUUUUCUUAAACCUACAUAAAACGAUGUGUGUAGAAUUUUUUGUUUAACACGGUACUAAUAAGAUUGGAUCUCUUCAGGUCUAACACGGUACCAAAUGUUGUUAUGUACUCGCCAAAAAAAUAUGAAGGCAUGUAACAUUCUAAUCGGUAGCCAAUUUGAAGGGGAUAAAGUGACCAAAGCUACUCUUUAUUUUGAACACAUGUUGCUUAGUGAGUGAUUUCCUCGAGUAGGGGCUUACUGAUUGAAAUAUGAUAUAUAGAUGUCUGCAGAUCAUCCUUGGCGACUGGUCAAAAGCUUCGCUGGAGCAAUUUCUUGUCCAUGAAUAUAAAGGCUUUGUGGGAUUUUGAACUUCGUCAAUUUAAGGCUCUUCUUCUAUAUAAAGUUGCACUUAUUCUUCUCUGGAUGUAUGUGGUUUAGCUGGUGAAUUUGUAGUUCAUUUUGAGUUGUUUUAGUCUGUGCUUGGUGGUUAGGCUAAGAAGAAGUAGACAUGAUUGGUGCAAGUUCGUUCUGUUCUUCUUUAUUUCUUUUACCAGAGGGGAUUGAUAGUUUCAAAAAGACUUGUUCCUUUAUCUCUAAUAGUGGAACCCGGAGCACUUUGUUGCUUCGUAUGAAUUUUUUUUCCACAAAUAUAAUAUAUUGGGUUGUCAAUA
Lolium perenne is the source of this 4813-nucleotide non-coding RNA. The record is from RefSeq and is a predicted model, not a curated record. Lineage: Eukaryota; Viridiplantae; Streptophyta; Magnoliopsida; Poales; Poaceae.